AUGGGCCCUGAAGGGACUAGGCUGGGUUUUGGAGGGCUCUGCAUACCACACGAGUCUUCCUGUUCAGGCUCCUGAGGCAGGAGCUGAGUCAUCUCAGCAGGAAUGGGAUGAGCAGCAGAUGUCUGUCUGUACUUCAUGUCAGUCAUCUGGCAUGUGUCAUCUGGCAUGGCCCGUCUCUGUGCCUCACCCCUAAAGAGGUGAUGGGCACAUCCAAGGACACACAGGGUGUUGUCUGGUCCAACUCAGGGCAUGGAUAAGCAGCGCGCUCCAAAAUUCCAUGCUUUCUCUGCCAUACCUCUAGCCCAACCCUCCUCCUCCCCAAAGCCUGCUCCUCUGCAGCUACUAAAUUACCUCUUGCCUGCAGGAAGGAGAAGCCUUGAGCUGCCUCUGUUAUCACCACAAACACCAUGGCAGCAGGAGAGGAUGGGUGGUAACCCUGACAAUACCAGUAAGCAACUUGUGCUGUGCAAUGUGACCAGCAGCCAACUCAUCCCACCAGGUAGACCCUGGGGCAGUGACUCACAGGGCUGUCACAGCCAGCGUGGUCCAAACUGGUGUGUGGGAAUUGCUCAUGGUGCUUGGGGAAGCAUUGCUGAUUGAUGGGAUGAGUGCUCUUCUGCUGAUUAUAUUUAUGGCAGCCUCCAGGGAACAUGUCCAAAGCUCUGGUUUUUCUGGCUUGUUGGUUCCCUGCCUCUUCCCUGCUGUCAUAUUGCAGACACAAUCUGUGGUUAGUGUCCUGACCAAGAACUUGGAGCACCUCCUUCCUGCUUCUUCCUCCAUGAACUGGUCAUGAGACUUGCUGGACUAGAAGCUACAAAGGCUGCACCGAGCUUUCCUUGUGUUUUAAGAGAAGUCAUUUCCUGGUGGUGGUCCCCUGAGCAAAUCCCAAGACUGAUGUCAUCCGCGUUGGUAUGUAAGCACAUGCAGGUAAACGACAUCACUGUGAACUUGUGUCAUGUCCAGCGUCAUCUAGAUGUGGCAAAUAAGGAUAAUAAAGAGGGAAAAGUCAGAUUUCUCAUGAUCAUAUCUCCUCUGGAGUGUGAACUGACUUUGACAUCCCUAUCCCAUCCCGCAGAGCAUGGGCAGAGCCUCCAAAAAGCAAAAGUGAUGCUUGGUAAGAAAACUUGGAGGAGAAAAUGCUAUGUUGUCAAACAUGCAUCUUCACCUGCUGGUCAGGGCAUAUCUCUGGGGGUGUUUUAUAUCCCUAACAUGUUCUACCAUUGUUCUUGGCUCUGUUUCCCAUCCUCUUCAUUUUAUUACUGCUUUUUACUUGGACAAGUUUUACUGAUUUCAGGUCAAGUCUGUGUGCAGGGUAACCCUGAUGUUGGGCAUAUUUGGCAGCAUGGGUGAGGAAGUCAAGAGGAAGGUGGAGGACUCCUGUUUUUCUCAGCAACAGACCAAGAAAAGGCGUCAUCAGCAGGAAGAACAGCCGUUCUGGGAGCUGCCGUGUGGACAGCACAGGAAGGUCUUUGAUGCUGAGGUGAUGAGGAGCUGAAGUAGGACAUCUAGGACAGACAAACCCUGGGAAGAAGUUGGCAUAGCACCCUGCUGGGUACUUUGGACUGGAGAGACUGAGUGAAGAGUGGAUGAGGACUGAGUUCAAUGUCCCCAUCUUAUACCUCUCUGCCCCUUUUUUAGGUGAUCAUCCUUGACAUUUAGUAUUUACUCAGAGCUCAGACUCUGAAGAAGGGCUUAAGCCAGUGGCAACUAAUUCCAACAGAAGGUCAAGAGCUUGUAAAAAUGCACAUGACAAGAGGGACCCUUAGAGAAAGUGGGACUUCAUGUGUGACUGCCUGCCUGCCCACAUUCCAAUUUGGAGAGGAUUGGAGUAGGGAGCUAUAAAAGCCAUUUGAAAGUGCAAGUUCCAGAUCCUUCAGGAGACAAAUGCACAUUUAUUUAAGGGCUCAGACAAGGAAAGAGAAAAAAACCCCAUGGAAGUCCAUGCACAUCUCCGUGGCAUCUCUGACUCUUGCAUCAAUUGUAGAGCCCUCCAAUGGUUUCCAAAGCCAAAUUUUUGUUCCCUGACUGACAGCAGUGCUGGUUUAACUGAAAAUGCUCUUCAGCUGCUCAGUGUAUGCAGGCAUCCAGCCUGGGAAAGUGCAGCUAAGACAGUGAAUGUCUGUCAGAGGCCAGGACAGCUUUAACUACAGGCUUCCCUAACUCUAUUGCCUCUGGAUUUUGCUGCUUCUUGCAAAAUCAGGACAUGAAAGUCCUUAAGUGUCUCCUGGCAGGAUGAUUGCUGUGAAGUGUCUUUGGGCUGCUGUGAAGGGCAAAAAUCAAUGUGACUCAGAGGCUGCAGGACCUUGCCCUGCAAAUAAUGCUGCUGGGAGCAGGAGAGGAAGGUUCAGACUGAGGCACUGGUGGAUCCUGGAGUGAUGCACUUCAGUUUGGGAAUGAGGAAUUCAGAGGUUGGUGGUGGCAAAGAUCAAUGAAUACAUCAUCAAACAGGAGCUGAUUCAUAAAACAAACUGAUACCACUCGGCAGAGAGGUUGUGCUGGGACCUCCCAAAGACACAGUGAAGAAUGGAGCAGACGUCUGACCGGUGUGUGCUAUGAAUGACCAGUGCCUUGACCCUCUUGCUUUUGGCCAAAGGGUGCUGGUGUAUCAGAGAACCCUCUGAUGGCCAUAAUGGAGCUGCAUUGGUUUAUACUGGUUAAGAUCCACAGUUCCCAGCAGGAGUGAAAAGAGAAGCUGGUCUCAGCUCUAGCUGGCUGGAAAAAACUUCUAAAAACUGUUUCAAAUCAGCUAUGAUCAAUAAAAUAAACAGAACAGGAGAAUGAAGGAGAGGAGUGGGAUGUGGGAAAGAAGACCUUCUGAAGUCUCUUGUAUAAGCCCAGCCACAUGGGAAUGAGGACUUGCAGGAGAAGGGUGCCUGAUGGCUGAGGUAUCCAUCACAGACUGUUGUGAUUCAGCUGCGAUGAAGUUUUGCACAGGUGCAUGAAGGAGUUUGAAGGAGGCCCAUGUAGUGACACAGGACUGCAGAUUUUCUGAACCCUUUUCAUGCCCAGUCCUGAAGGGUACAGAGGAAAGGGUUAACGCCUCCCAGAACUCAGUUGUGUUGGGAAUGAAAUAGAAAAUCUGAAAGCAGGGCUGGGAGAGACUUAUCAUGGUGCUGUGCCUGUUAGCAGAAGACUGCCCCUUCCUUUGACACAGGUGGUCCUGUUGCCAGCAGAAGGUGGGAGCUGGAAGGGAUGUGUCAUUGGAGGUGCCUGAUAUACAGCUGCAGCCAUGGAUCAUCUCCAGCAGUGUGACUUUUGUGGCUUUCCGACCAGCCAUCACCCAUUAAAGACUGUGUGCCAGGAAAAGGUCAUGUAACAGCUCCAUAGGGAACACACCUUGUUCUCCAGCUCCUUCUGUAAAAUGUCAGGUAUCCUACAAGUGAAUCAAGGAUUUGGAAUGCAACUCCAUUCAAAUUUAAAAGUGCAUUCCCUUGAGCUGCUGAAUUUGACCUGAAAAAUUCAGCCAAAUUCCUGGUCAUGGUGCACUGCAGAGACCUGAUGAGACCUUUCAGCUCCUGCCACUUUCUGCCCACAUCUGUCCCGCUGUAUCUGACCCUAUUGAUGCUGGUGCACUGGGCCACCAUUGUGUGCCAGUUUGGAUGCCCAGUGCAUGACAAUAUCUGGUCUUUUUGUAGGUGACUCAUUUGGGCCUUAAUCCCAUUUCUAAUCUAGCUAUGUUAUUAUUUCCCAGUUUUGAUGGAUGGGCUUGUUAGCUUUAUGUUACUCAUGAAACGUCUUUCUGUUGUAGUUUCUGAUUAAAAACAUCUCUCUGUUUCAUCUUUA
This is a long non-coding RNA of Corvus hawaiiensis (hawaiian crow), 3783 nucleotides long. RefSeq lists it as uncharacterized. The transcript has 5 exons. The record is from RefSeq and is a predicted model, not a curated record. NCBI's taxonomy places the organism in Eukaryota, Metazoa, Chordata, Aves, Passeriformes, Corvidae.